AGCGGCGGACGGGUGCGUAACACGUGGGUAACCUGCCCCUAUCACUGGGAUAACACACUGAAAAGUGUGCUAAUACCAGAUAACAUAAGCUUUUGGCAUCAUUAGCUUAUCAAAGAAUUUCGGAUAGGGAUGGGCCCGCGUCUGAUUAGCUAGUUGGUGAGGUAACGGCUCACCAAGGCAACGAUCAGUAGCCGACCUGAGAGGGCGAUCGGCCACACUGGAACUGAGACACGGUCCAGACUCCUACGGGAGGCAGCAGUGGGGAAUAUUGCACAAUGGGCGAAAGCCUGAUGCAGCAACGCCGCGUGAGCGAUGAAGGCCUUCGGGUCGUAAAGCUCUGUCCUAUGGGAGGAUAAUGACGGUACCAUAGGAGGAAGCCCCGGCUAACUACGUGCCAGCAGCCGCGGUAAUACGUAGGGGGCAAGCGUUAUCCGGAAUUACUGGGCGUAAAGGGUGCGUAGGCGGUUUAUCAAGUCAGGGGUGAAAGGCUACGGCUCAACCGUAGUGAGCCUCUGAAACUGGUGAACUUGAGUGUAGGAGAGGAAAGUGGAAUUCCCAGUGUAGCGGUGAAAUGCGU
This 577-nucleotide ribosomal RNA is filed under the name uncultured Acetoanaerobium sp. Its description in RNAcentral is "bacterial SSU rRNA". It matches the Rfam family "Bacterial small subunit ribosomal RNA", at positions 94 to 691 of the family's 1533-position model. The record is from RNAcentral. Lineage: Bacteria; Bacillati; Bacillota; Clostridia; Peptostreptococcales; Filifactoraceae.